UGAGGAAUAUUGGUCAAUGGGCGAGAGCCUGAACCAGCCAAGUCGCGUGAAGGAAGACUGCCUUAUGGGUUGUAAACUUCUUUUAUACAGGAAUAAAAAGGCUUACGUGUAGGCCAUUGCAAGUACUGUAUGAAUAAGCAUCGGCUAACUCCGUGCCAGCAGCCGCGGUAAUACGGAGGAUGCGAGCGUUAUCCGGAUUUAUUGGGUUUAAAGGGUGCGCAGGCGGGCUUUUAAGUCAGCGGUGAAAUCUGGACGCUUAACGUCCAAACUGCCGUUGAAACUGGGAGUCUUGAGUAUGGAUGAAGUAGGCGGAAUUCGUUGUGUAGCGGUGACAUGCAUAGAUAUAACGAGGAACUCCGAUUGCGUAGGCAGCUUACUAAGCCAUAACUGACGCUCAUGCACGAAAGCGUGGGGAUCAAACAGGAUUAGAUACCCUGGUAGUCCACGCCGUAAAACGAUGAUUACUAGUUGUAUGCGAUAUGAUAGUAUGUGACUAAGCGAAAGCGAUAAGUAAUCCACCUGGGGAGUACGCCGGCAACGGUGAAACUCAAAUGAAUUGACGGGGUCAUAGCUG
This 574-nucleotide ribosomal RNA is filed under the name uncultured bacterium. Its description in RNAcentral is "partial 16S ribosomal RNA". It matches the Rfam family "Bacterial small subunit ribosomal RNA", at positions 355 to 932 of the family's 1533-position model. The record is from RNAcentral.